RNAcentral lists this ribosomal RNA (696 nucleotides) under uncultured bacterium. RNAcentral's name for it is "bacterial SSU rRNA". It matches the Rfam family "Bacterial small subunit ribosomal RNA", at positions 111 to 823 of the family's 1533-position model. The record is from RNAcentral.
UAACGCGUGAGGAACCUGCCUUUCNNAGGGGGACAACAGUUGGAAACGACUGCUAAUACCGCAUGACGCAUUUUGAUCGCACGGUCGAAAUGCCAAAGAUUUAUCGCUGAAAGAUGGCCUCGCGUCUGAUUAGAUAGUUGGCGGGGUAACGGCCCACCAAGUCGACGAUCAGUAGCCGGACUGAGAGGUUGACCGGCCACAUUGGGACUGAGAUACGGCCCAGACUCCUACGGGAGGCAGCAGUGGGGAAUAUUGGGCAAUGGGCGCAAGCCUGACCCAGCAACGCCGCGUGAAGGAAGAAGGCUUUCGGGUUGUAAACUUCUUUUAAGUGGGAAGAGUAGAAGACGGUACCACUUGAAUAAGCCACGGCUAACUACGUGCCAGCAGCCGCGGUAAUACGUAGGUGGCAAGCGUUGUCCGGAUUUACUGGGUGUAAAGGGCGUGCAGCCGGGCAUGCAAGUCAGAUGUGAAAUCUCAGGGCUUAACCCUGAAACUGCAUUUGAAACUGUAUGUCUUGAGUGCCGGAGAGGUAAUCGGAAUUCCUUGUGUAGCGGUGAAAUGCGUAGAUAUAAGGAAGAACACCAGUGGCGAAGGCGGAUUACUGGACGGUAACUGACGGUGAGGCGCGAAAGCGUGGGGAGCGAACAGGAUUAGAUACCCUGGUAGUCCACGCUGUAAACGAUGGAUACUAGGUGU